Molecule: long non-coding RNA, 2310 nt
Filed under: Carassius auratus (goldfish)
Lineage: Eukaryota; Metazoa; Chordata; Actinopteri; Cypriniformes; Cyprinidae
Description: lncRNA (ENSCARG00000022136.1)
Source: RNAcentral
AUGGAUCCCCUCUAUCGUCCCGAAUUCCUCAUCCUCCUGCUGAAGCAGGAAGGACGUUCUCUCGAGGACCAUACCAGACAGUUUUUCCUAUUAGCUAAUGCCACCAGCUACCCGGACGGCGCGCUCUGCACCUUCUACAACACCAGCCUGAACUCCAAAUGCAGAGCGUUGUCGUCCGAAGAUGGUCCUCGAGAGGAUUUCGCCGCAUUCGUGGAGUGGACUCUGGCGAGAAAUGGCUCAUCUCUCACCGUCUGCCCCAUAGAGGACCUCGCCAGCCCCACUCCCGACCCAGAGACCAGCCAGCCACCAUCACGCCGCACGGAGCCAGAGCCCACCGCAGCCGCAGAGCCCGAGCCAUCCACUGACAGGGAACAGGAUCUCGAGAGCGCGACUGACCAGGUGUGUGAGCCGGCAACACCGUGCAUCGUGGGAGUCCUCGUGGAGAUCGAGGGCGUGGAGGAAAGCCCUGCCCACACUCCUGCGACUGAGGGUGAGCUGUAUACAGUCUCUGAAGGUCAUAUGGAGCAAGUUCUGGAUCUGAUGGACUGGUCUAUGGAGGUAAUCCCUAAUUUUCCUGUUUCCCCGCCGGUUUCGUCCAGCCCUGAUUCCCCUGUAUACCCUCUCAGUCUCCCACUCCUACCUCCUCCAGUCAUUUCCUCUGCUCCAUUUCCGCUGGUUCCAUCCAGCCAUGAAUUUUCUUUUUCUCCGCUGGUUCCGCCCAGCCCUGAGUUUUCUGUUUCUCCGCUGGUUACGCCCAGCCCUGAGUUUUCUGUUUCUCCGCUGGUUACGCCCAGCCCUGAGUUUUCUGUUUCUCCGCUGGUUACGCCCAGCCCUGAGUUUUCUGUUUCUCCGCUGGUUACGCCCAGCCCUGAGUUUUCUGUUUCUCCGCUGGUUACGCCCAGCCCUGAGUUUUCUGUUUCUCCGCUGGUUACGCCCAGCCCUGAGUUUUCUGUUUCUCCGCUGGUUACGCCCAGCCCUGAGUUUUCUGUUUCUCCGCUGGUUACGCCCAGCCCUGAGUUUUCUGUUUCUCCGCUGGUUACGCCCAGCCCUGAGUUUUCUGUUUCUCCGCUGGUUCCGCCCAGCCCUGAGUUUCCUGUAUCUCCGCUGGCUCCGCCCAGCUCUGAAUCUUCUGUUUCUCCGCUGGUUCCGCCCAGCCCUGAGUUUUCUGUUUCUCCGCUGGUUCCGCCCAGCUCUGAAUCUUCUGUGUCUCCGCUGGUUCCGCCCAGCUCUGAAUCUUCUGUGUCUCCGCUGGUUCCGCCCAGCUCUGAAUCUUCUGUUUCACCACUGGUUCCGCCCAGCCCUGAAUCUUCUGUGUCUCCUGUAUUCCCUCCCAACCUCCCUCUCCCACCUCCUCCCAAACCUGCUGGUCCCUCUACUCUUUCGCUGGUUCCGUCCAGUCCUGAUCCUCCUGUCCUUCCUCCCAUCCUUCUCCUCUCUCCUCCUCCUAGACCAGCCAGUUCCUCGCCAUCCCUGCUGGUGCCAGUCAGUCCCGCAGCUCACCCUCAGUCCGCGCCAUCGGGGCGCGGUGGUUCGCCGCUGGACUGCCAGUCUCCAGCUCCGCCUUGGCGUGUUAAGGCCCUGUCUCCGCCUCCAGCCUCCGAGCCCUGGACUCCUCCUCGGUCCUUCGACCCAGCGGCUCCGCCUUGGCUCUUAGCUCCCUCGUCUCCACCGUGGCCUGUCAUCCCACCUGCUCCACCGGGCUCCCUCGUCCCUCCGGCUCCACCUUGGUCAGUCGUCGACCAUCCGCCGCCUCGGGACUCCUCUCCUCUGGUUCCACCUCGUCACUCCAUCCCUCCGGCUCUGUCAGGCUCCUCCUUCCCUCCGGUUCCACCUCCAUCCUCGGUCGCUCCGGCUCCACAGCGGGCUGCCAGGACCCCGCCUCCGCCUUGGUCGCCUGAGCCUUCUGCUCCACCUAGGCCCUCCGGAACCUCGUCGUCACCCUGGCUCUGCGGCUGUGCUGCUCCAUCUUGGGCUCCUCACCCACCGGUGCAGUCUCCGCCUGUCGGCCCCCUGGUGUCGUCGACCCUUCCUUCACCAUGGCUCCUCCCGCCGUCGACUCCACCUUGGAUCUCCGUCCUGGCUGGUCUCUGGUGGACCAUCUGGCUCCUCCUGCUCCUGUCUCCUCCCUGGCUCCUCCUUCUGUGGUCCCUGUCUGCUGGCCCCCUCCUGGGAGUCCGUCCUCCACCGGAACCUCCUCCCAAGUUCCCACCCAUGCCUCCCUCUGUUGUUUCUACGGUGCGAGGACGCACCUACCGGGAGGGGGGAGUACUGUCACACACCUGGACUCAUUUAGCUUGUUUUUGCCCGUGA